RNAcentral lists this ribosomal RNA (505 nucleotides) under Aspergillus sp. 1110_19. RNAcentral's name for it is "eukaryotic LSU rRNA". The stretch from base 188 to 337 matches the Rfam family "5.8S ribosomal RNA". The record is from RNAcentral. Lineage: Eukaryota; Fungi; Ascomycota; Eurotiomycetes; Eurotiales; Aspergillaceae.
GAAAAAUUAAUACGUUGGGGGCAAAAACAACCUCCCCUCCGUGUCUUUGUCCUUGUUGCUUCGGCGGGCCCGCCCCUCGAAUGGGGGGGGGGGGCGCCUCUGCCCCCCGGGCCCGGGCCCGCCGGUGACCCCGCUCCAACACCGUCUGACAGCGUGCAGUCUGAUUUGAAUGAUUGCAAUCAUUUAAACCUUUCAGCAUUGGCUCUCUUGGAUCCGGCACCGAUGAAUAACGCACUGCAAUGCCAUUCUAAUGUUAUUGCAGAAUUUGUGAAUCAUCUUUUCUUUGAACGCACAUUGCGCCCCUGGCAUUCCGGGGGGCAUGCCUGUUUCAGCGUCAUUGCUGUCCUCAAGCCUGGCUUGUGUGUUGGGUCGCCGUCCCCCUCUCCGGGUGAACGGGCCCGAAAGGCAGCGGCGGCACCGCCUUCGAUCCACGAGCGUAAGGGACUUUGUAACCUGCUCUGAUCGAUUGGUCGGCGCCUGCUUACUUUUUCCCACCAUUCUCUUU